Molecule: ribosomal RNA, 483 nt
Filed under: uncultured bacterium
Lineage: Bacteria
Description: partial 16S ribosomal RNA
Rfam family: Bacterial small subunit ribosomal RNA
Source: RNAcentral
GACGAACGCUGGCGGCGUGCUUAACACAUGCAAGUCGAACGCUGAAGCUCAGCUUUUGUUGGGUGGAUGAGUGGCGAACGGGUGAGUAACACGUGAGUAACCUGCCCCCUUCUUUGGGAUAACGCCCGGAAACGGGUGCUAAUACUGGAUAUUCACUGGUCUUCGCCUGGGGGCUGGUGGAAAGGGUUUUUCUGGUGGGGGAUGGGCUCGCGGCCUAUCAGCUUGUUGGUGGGGUGAUGGCCUACCAAGGCUUUGACGGGUAGCCGGCCUGAGAGGGUGACCGGUCACAUUGGGACUGAGAUACGGCCCAGACUCCUACGGGAGGCAGCAGUGGGGAAUAUUGCACAAUGGGCGCAAGCCUGAUGCAGCGACGCCGCAUGAGGGAUGGAGGCCUUCGGGUUGUGAACCUCUUUCGCUCAUGGUCAAGCCGCAACAAUGGUUGUGGUGAGGGUAGUGGGUAAAGAAGCGCCGGCUAACUACGUG